UACGGGGGGGGCAAGCGUUGUUCGGAAUUACUGGGCGUAAAGGGCUCGUAGGCGGCCAACUAAGUCAUACGUGAAAUCCCUCGGCUUAACUGGGGAACUGCGUCUGAUACUGGAUGGCUUGAGUUUGGGAGAGGGAUGCGGAAUUCCAGGUGUAGCGGUGAAAUGCGUAGAUAUCUGGAGGAACACCGGUGGCGAAGGCGGCAUCCUGGACCAACACUGACACUGAGGAGCGAAAGCCAGGGGAGCAAACGGG
Molecule: ribosomal RNA, 253 nt
Filed under: uncultured bacterium
Lineage: Bacteria
Description: partial 16S ribosomal RNA
Rfam family: Bacterial small subunit ribosomal RNA
Source: RNAcentral